This 378-nucleotide unclassified non-coding RNA is filed under the name plant metagenome. RNAcentral describes it as "partial contains internal transcribed spacer 2 and large subunit ribosomal RNA". The stretch from base 1 to 105 matches the Rfam family "5.8S ribosomal RNA", at positions 50 to 154 of the family's 154-position model. The record is from RNAcentral.
GAAAUGCGAUAAGUAAUGUGAAUUGCAGAAUUCAGUGAAUCAUCGAAUAUUUGAACGCACCUUGCGCUCCUUGGUCUUCCUUGGCGCCUGCCUGUUUGCGUCUCCUGCCCUCUUCAAAGUAAAUCUUUUGUUAACUCAAUUGGUUUCUACUUUGGUAUUGGAGGUCUUUGCAGCUUCACACCUGCUCCUCUUUGUUCAUUAGCUGGAUCUCAGUGUUAUGCUUGGUUCCACUCGGCGUGAUAAGUUAUCUAUCGCUGAGGACACUGUAAAAGGUGGCCAAGGUAAAUGCAGAUGAACCGCUUCUAAUAGUCCAUUGACUUGGACAAUACUUUUAUGAUCUGAUCUCAAAUCAGGUAGGACUACCCGCUGAACUUAAGC